UGCUUGCUUCAGCAGCAAUAUACUAACAUUGGAAUUAUAUUGAUACAAAGAAAAUAAGCAUGGCCCCCGUGCUAGAUGACAUGCACAUUUGUGAAAGCAUUUCAUAUUUUU
Cercocebus atys (sooty mangabey) is the source of this 111-nucleotide small nuclear RNA. Lineage: Eukaryota; Metazoa; Chordata; Mammalia; Primates; Cercopithecidae. The record is from Ensembl.